RNAcentral lists this ribosomal RNA (250 nucleotides) under uncultured bacterium. RNAcentral's name for it is "partial 16S ribosomal RNA". It matches the Rfam family "Bacterial small subunit ribosomal RNA", at positions 524 to 773 of the family's 1533-position model. The record is from RNAcentral.
UACGUAGGUGGCAAGCGUUGUCCGGAAUUACUGGGCGUAAAGGGCGCGCAGGCGGUAAUUUAAGUCGGAUGUGAAAUCUAGAGGCUUAACCUCUAGUUUGCAUACGAAACUGGAUUACUUGAGUGCAGGAGAGGGCAGUGGAAUUCCUAGUGUAGCGGUGAAAUGCGUAGAUAUUAGGAGGAACACCAGUGGCGAAGGCGGCUGCCUGGACUGUAACUGACGCUGAGGCGCGAAAGCGUGGGGAGCGAAC